This is a long non-coding RNA of Rosa chinensis, 904 nucleotides long. RefSeq lists it as uncharacterized. The transcript is spliced from 3 exons. NCBI's taxonomy places the organism in Eukaryota, Viridiplantae, Streptophyta, Magnoliopsida, Rosales, Rosaceae. The record is from RefSeq and is a predicted model, not a curated record.
UCUAUUACCUUUUUUUUUUUUGGUAAUGAUACUCUAUUACUUUUUGGGUGGUGAAGUUCUCAGAAACCCAAAACAGAAAAGAAAUGGCAAGCGCUCCUUCUCCUCCGUCGUCGUUGAAGGCAAACAUGGCAGCAGGAGACCCCAAAUUCGAUCUCGUGAAGCAGAUUGGCAGCCACGAGGUUACAAUAGCAGAGCUCAAUGCUCUUUCAUCGUCCCGGACGGUGUAUCAGAAGAAUGGGAGCUUAUUUUUCCAUACGACAAUCCAGAAAGCAUCGGCAUCUGAACAGAGUAGAAAUUUUUCUAUCAACUUCUAAGGUGACUUUCUCUGGCUUGGAAACAGCUCUACUGAUGCAAUUUUCCUUCUUCAUUGUGGGUAUUGGUCAGAAUAACUAGAUUUGGCUAAAGCAAGCCUUGGAAAGUUGAAUUCUUCUUGAUACGGCUUUGUCUACAUUGAUGCGUCGGCAGCUUUCUAAGGAUAAAGAACGAGUGCAUUUCUUUUUGCAUAGAAUUGUGCUGCUUGGGAGUUGAGGAGACAUUUUCCUUGUUUGUUUUGGUCAUAGAACAAAAUUUCCUUUGCUUUUUGUAUUUCUAUUCAUGAGGACUGAUCUGAUACUUUUACUGUUUUAAUUGGUCCUUUUGUUGUUGUUGAACAGGAUAAAGAAGGGGUGCAUUUCUUGUUGCAUAGAAUCGUGCUGCUUGGGAGUCGAGGAGACAUUUUCCUUGUUUGUUUUGGUCAUAGAACAAAAUUUCCUUUGCUUUUUGUAUGUCUCGGUGUUACCAUCGUUAGCUUUUAGCAUAUAGAUAUAUUAUUGAAGAGAAGUAGUCAUGGAAACUUUUGGAGAAGAAUGUUGUACAACUCAAAUAUGACUUUUGAAGUAUAUUAAUGAGUUAUUUUCCCGGAAUA